Molecule: ribosomal RNA, 958 nt
Filed under: Acinetobacter baumannii
Lineage: Bacteria; Pseudomonadati; Pseudomonadota; Gammaproteobacteria; Moraxellales; Moraxellaceae
Description: bacterial SSU rRNA
Rfam family: Bacterial small subunit ribosomal RNA
Source: RNAcentral
GGGGCGGCUUACACAUGCAAGUCGAGCGGGGGAAGGUAGCUUGCUACCGGACCUAGCGGCGGACGGGUGAGUAAUGCUUAGGAAUCUGCCUAUUAGUGGGGGACAACAUCUCGAAAGGGAUGCUAAUACCGCAUACGUCCUACGGGAGAAAGCAGGGGAUCUUCGGACCUUGCGCUAAUAGAUGAGCCUAAGUCGGAUUAGCUAGUUGGUGGGGUAAAGGCCUACCAAGGCGACGAUCUGUAGCGGGUCUGAGAGGAUGAUCCGCCACACUGGGACUGAGACACGGCCCAGACUCCUACGGGAGGCAGCAGUGGGGAAUAUUGGACAAUGGGGGGAACCCUGAUCCAGCCAUGCCGCGUGUGUGAAGAAGGCCUUAUGGUUGUAAAGCACUUUAAGCGAGGAGGAGGCUACUUUAGUUAAUACCUAGAGAUAGUGGACGUUACUCGCAGAAUAAGCACCGGCUAACUCUGUGCCAGCAGCCGCGGUAAUACAGAGGGUGCGAGCGUUAAUCGGAUUUACUGGGCGUAAAGCGUGCGUAGGCGGCUUAUUAAGUCGGAUGUGAAAUCCCCGAGCUUAACUUGGGAAUUGCAUUCGAUACUGGUGAGCUAGAGUAUGGGAGAGGAUGGUAGAAUUCCAGGUGUAGCGGUGAAAUGCGUAGAGAUCUGGAGGAAUACCGAUGGCGAAGGCAGCCAUCUGGCCUAAUACUGACGCUGAGGUACGAAAGCAUGGGGAGCAAACAGGAUUAGAUACCCUGGUAGUCCAUGCCGUAAACGAUGUCUACUAGCCGUUGGGGCCUUUGAGGCUUUAGUGGCGCAGCUAACGCGAUAAGUAGACCGCCUGGGGAGUACGGUCGCAAGACUAAAACUCAAAUGAAUUGACGGGGGGCCCGCACAAGCGGUGGAGCAUGUGGUUUAAUUCGAUGCAACGCGAAGAACCUUACCUGGCCUUGACAUACUAG